RNAcentral lists this ribosomal RNA (579 nucleotides) under Veillonella parvula. RNAcentral's name for it is "bacterial SSU rRNA". It matches the Rfam family "Bacterial small subunit ribosomal RNA", at positions 364 to 938 of the family's 1533-position model. Lineage: Bacteria; Bacillati; Bacillota; Negativicutes; Veillonellales; Veillonellaceae. The record is from RNAcentral.
UUCCGCAAUGGACGAAAGUCUGACGGAGCAACGCCGCGUGAGUGAUGACGGCCUUCGGGUUGUAAAGCUCUGUUAAUCAGGACGAAAGGCCUUCUUGCGAACAGUUAGAAGGAUUGACGGUACCGGAAUAGAAAGCCACGGCUAACUACGUGCCAGCAGCCGCGGUAAUACGUAGGUGGCAAGCGUUGUCCGGAAUUAUUGGGCGAAAAGCGCGCGCAGGCGGAUCAGUCAGUCUGUCUUAAAAGUUCGGGGCUUAACCCCGUGAUGGGAUGGAAACUGCUGAUCUAGAGUAUCGGAGAGGAAAGUGGAAUUCCUAGUGUAGCGGUGAAAUGCGUAGAUAUUAGGAAGAACACCAGUGGCGAAGGCGACUUUCUGGACGAAAACUGACGCUGAGGCGCGAAGCCAGGGAGCGAACGGGAUUAGAUACCCCGGUAGUCCUGGCCGUAAACGAUGGGUACUAGGUGUAGGAGGUAUCGACCCCUUCUGUGCCGGAGUUAACGCAAUAAGUACCCGCCUGGGGAGUACGACCGCAAGGUUGAAACUCAAAGGAAUUGACGGGGGCCCGCACAACGGUGGAGU